Molecule: transfer RNA, 86 nt
Filed under: Microcaldota archaeon
Lineage: Archaea; Nanobdellati; Microcaldota
Description: tRNA-Ser
Rfam family: tRNA
About the family: Transfer RNA (tRNA) molecules are approximately 80 nucleotides in length. Their secondary structure includes four short double-helical elements and three loops (D, anti-codon, and T loops).
Source: RNAcentral
GCCAAGGUGGCAGAAUCCGGUAACGCGUGCGCCUGGAAAGCGCAUGACUCGCAAGAGUCUUUUGGGUUCAAAUCCCAACCUUGGCG